GGGAAUGUAGCUUAGUGGUAGAGCAUGUGCAAGGUCCUGGGUUCAAUCCCAAGUACUGCCA
RNAcentral lists this transfer RNA (61 nucleotides) under Ictidomys tridecemlineatus (thirteen-lined ground squirrel). RNAcentral's name for it is "Spermophilus tridecemlineatus (thirteen-lined ground squirrel) tRNA". It matches the Rfam family "tRNA". Rfam says of the family: Transfer RNA (tRNA) molecules are approximately 80 nucleotides in length. Their secondary structure includes four short double-helical elements and three loops (D, anti-codon, and T loops). The record is from Rfam by way of RNAcentral. Lineage: Eukaryota; Metazoa; Chordata; Mammalia; Rodentia; Sciuridae.